GGGAUAACAGUUAGAAAUGGCUGCUAAUACCGCAUAAGACCACAGCACCGCAUGGUGCAGGGGUAAAAACUCCGGUGGUAUGAGAUGGACCCGCGUCUGAUUAGCUAGUUGGUGGGGUAACGGCCUACCAAGGCGACGAUCAGUAGCCGACCUGAGAGGGUGACCGGCCACAUUGGGACUGAGACACGGCCCAAACUCCUACGGGAGGCAGCAGUGGGGAAUAUUGCACAAUGGGGGAAACCCUGAUGCAGCGACGCCGCGUGAGCGAAGAAGUAUUUCGGUAUGUAAAGCUCUAUCAGCAGGGAAGAAAAUGACGGUACCUGACUAAGAAGCCCCGGCUAACUACGUGCCAGCAGCCGCGGUAAUACGUAGGGGGCAAGCGUUAUCCGGAUUUACUGGGUGUAAAGGGAGCGUAGACGGCGAGGCAAGUCUGAUGUGAAAACCCGGGGCUCAACCCCGUGACUGCAUUGGAAACUGUUUUGCUUGAGUGCCGGAGAGGUAAGCGGAAUUCCUAGUGUAGCGGUGAAAUGCGUAGAUAUUAGGAGGAACACCAGUGGCGAAGGCGGCUUACUGGACGGCAACUGACGUUGAGGCUCGAAAGCGUGGGGAGCAAACAGGAUUAGAUACCCUGGUAGUCCACGCCGUAA
RNAcentral lists this ribosomal RNA (647 nucleotides) under uncultured bacterium. RNAcentral describes it as "bacterial SSU rRNA". It matches the Rfam family "Bacterial small subunit ribosomal RNA", at positions 140 to 805 of the family's 1533-position model. The record is from RNAcentral.